This is a long non-coding RNA of Nicotiana tabacum (common tobacco), 3035 nucleotides long. RefSeq lists it as uncharacterized. Lineage: Eukaryota; Viridiplantae; Streptophyta; Magnoliopsida; Solanales; Solanaceae. The record is from RefSeq and is a predicted model, not a curated record.
UUGGGCCGAAACCCUUAUUUUUCUAAUUAUCUUUUCCUUUCCCACACUCUCUCUUCUCUCUCAUAGCUCACGUCCCUCCUCUCUUCCAGCGGUGUCUUUAGUGGUUGUGACCGCCGCCGCCGCCGCCGACGACUCAGGUUGAACUGAAAUCCACUCUUGACAAAGAUAAGUUUCUGAACCAAUGACACACAAAUCGUUCCAGCAUAGUUGUCCAUGUGAAGGCUAAACUUGUGUAGAUACAGGUUGCCCAUAUUAUUUGAUACCCAAACCUGAAGAUGUUGGCAUUGUACCUAUAAUGAAUAUCUCCCUCAUGUAUAAUAGAUGCAUGAUGUACCUGGUGUUUCCUCCAAUUAAAGCACAGUUGACCCGCAAAGUGAUGCAAACACCCAUGGUUCAACAAAACCAUUCUGGAAAGUAGUGUGGUGUUGCGUAUGUCUUUUUUAUUUUUGUGUUAUCAUGUACCUUUACUAUAGUAGUUUGUAAUAUGUUCAGGGUGUAGCAGAGUAUCAAGAAAAAGGUCCCUAAUUGUACAAUUCUUAUGUCAGGCAUGGCUAUCGAUGUUAUGAAGACUGAAAGAGUACAAAGGUUGAUAAUUAAAGAAAGACUAUACUACUGUUUCAUCCUCCAUUUCAACUUUUGUUUCUUGGUUUCGUCCUUGCUACGAUAGAUGGAAUUUGAACAUCGUAGAUGGAUGUAUAAUAGGACUCAUCCUAAUCGUGCGGGAUUGAGGAAAGAAUUUAUAGAAGGAGUUGCGGGGUUUAUUGCUAAGGCAAAAUUGCUAAAUGAUUUUCUAAUUGAAGGGACAAUUAGGUGCCCUUGUGUUAAAUGCAAGUGUGUCAAGUUAUUGAGACCAGAUAUAGUUGAACUUCAUCUUUACAAGAAUGGAUUUAUAGAAAAUUAUUAUGUAUGGACUGUUCAUGGAGAGAAUCAUGAUAUUCAUAAUUCUUUUGGUGGUGAGGGUAGUCCUAGAAUAGAGAAUAAUUUUGAAAAUUCUCGAUUCAAUGAAAUGAUGAGCGAUGCUUUUGAGAUGUUCCAAGAGGUUCAAUCCGAACCAAAUGAUGAGGCUAAGCACUUUUAUGAAUAAAUAGAAGAAGUUAGUUAUCCAUUAUAUGAAGGCUCAAUGCAUUCCAAGUUGUCUGUUGCAGUUAGACUACUAACUAUCAAAUCUGAUAGUUCUAUUUCUCAAGCGGGCAUGGAUUCUAUCACUGGGCUGAUGAAUGAACUAAAUCCGAAUAAAAUUAACUUACCCAAAGAUUUCUAUACUGCAAAGAAAUUGGUGUCCAAGUUAGGACUUUCAUUAGAGAGGAUUGACUGUUGUGAGAAAGGAUGCAUGUUAUUUUAUAAGGAUGAUGCAGCGUUAGAAAAUUGUAAGUUUUGUAACCAACCUCGUUAUAAGGAAGUUACAAAUGCUAAUAAGAAAAAGGUCCCGGUGAAAGCGAUGCAUUACUUACCCCUUAUACCAAAGUUAAAGAGAUUGUAUGCAUCAAUGAGCUCCGCUCCUCAUAUGAGAUGGCACUAUGAACAUAAAAGGCCAAUUGGUGUUCUAUGUCACCCGUCAGAUGGAGAAGCAUGGAAGCAUUUUGAUAGAGUGUUCCCGGACUUUGCAAGUGAACCAAGAAAUAUUAGGUUGGGAUUAUGCCCCCACCUGGGCCUUUCCACAUUUAUGUGUCUUCAGUUGGCAUGAACUCUGGCUCUAACCUUAAUUUUAUUCCCACACCAAAUGUAAAUUCUUCUCCCGGUUUUCAUAUUAGUCAACAAGGUAGCUCCUCAACACUACCUACUUCAUCGACUCCAGCUGCAUCUCCGUCAUCAAGCACACCUAGCGUAUCUAGGUUAAAUAUUGGAGUCUCUGGCACACCAACAUCACCAUCCAUUGGUAGUGCUACACCAACAACUUCUCGGGAUCGAAUUGAUAGAGAGACUCCACAAUAUGAUGCAUAUAGUAGGUUGAUUAUCGUUCCGGAUGAGCAUGAUGGGUUUUCCCCCAUAUACUACAGCGCAUAUGGUUACAGAGUCUAUUAAACCACUUUACGAUGAUGCUUGGAGUAUAUGAAGAGAAAUUCCAUAUCAUAUCAGAGAUGCAAUGUGGAAUCAGUUUAGGACUAAGUGUGUGUGGGAGCAACGAUAUGACAAUGAAAUAAAAGAUGUCUUUGUGAAGAAAGCAAAAAAUGCGAUUACAAGUUCAUUGUAUGAAGCUCGAGAAAAGAGGCAGAAUCCUGGUUGGAUAAGAGAAGAUGUGUGGAUAAAAGUUUUAGCAAUAUGGGAUAGUGAUGCAUUUAAGAAGAAGAGUAAACGAGCAAAGGCAGCCCUAGCCUCUCAAAAGGGUGGCUCGUGCACACCGGGGGAUCUAUGAGUUUUGCUGCGCAUCGACGGAGAUUGGAAAAGUUAAAAGGGGACCAGUAUCUCAUGCUGAGGUCUUUGCGGAGACACAUACGAAAAAGAAGAAAGACGGUUCAAGAGAAGGAUGGGUUGAGAUACGUGUAUCGGAACAAUAUGAUGGAUAUCAUAGAAUCUUGGAUGAAUGGUGUCAGACAUAGCCUACUUCUGAUGAUGGUACCCCAAUCCAACCGUCACCCGAUGAUAUGACUUCAAUAUGGACAGAUAUGGCAGGUGGUAUAUCCAAAGGAAGAGUUUACGGACUUGGAGUACAACGACCUUCCUCUUUUUGUCCAUUGCCAUUAUUUUCGGAUGCUCAUAUUGCGCAAAAUCAUGAAGAAAUGGAAGCAAUGCAAAAGAAAAUUGAGUUGUUGUCUAAACGGUGUGAAACAGCCGAAACUCACAUUGCUAGAAUGGAUAAAUACAUGAAAAAGCACAUGCCCCACUCUUAUGACGAUGAAAAGGUUGAAUUUGAUGCGUAGUAGUGGUUUAUGGUUGAUUACUAUUUUUGAAUGUUUAGAUUUUAUAUUUAGACUUUAUGGUAGAUUUGGAUGAUGUGGUAUAUAUGUUUAGACUUUAUUAUAUUAGUGUCAAUGUGUAUUAGCUACUUAGACUUGAUAUUGAAUAUUUUGGACUUUGACUAAUGUUUUGGUUUGAUA